Molecule: long non-coding RNA, 435 nt
Organism: Daphnia carinata
Lineage: Eukaryota; Metazoa; Arthropoda; Branchiopoda; Diplostraca; Daphniidae
Exons: 3
Source: RefSeq, a predicted model, not a curated record
GGUUAUUACUCCUGUUCAUAUCGUUUAGGAGACGCAUUAUGUAGUGUAUGGCGAGGAUUGCAAUUCACAAUAGGGGCUUGUAGCAUCUUAGCGUGCAUCAGUUCCAUAGCCCUCGUGAUCCUGGCUUCUGAAUCUCUAUGCACUUGCUGCAGAAAACAUGAAAUGAGGGAUCCCUUCCCGUACGUCGAAGCCACGAACGUUGGCGAGCGAACCGCAGAUCGUCAACAGCAAUUCGACCUGUAGAUCUAGCAAAAUCAUAUAGAGAACAGAUACGCUGGAUCCACAUGCCAUGCUAUGUCCAAAGAGCCGUUGUUUCCACCAUACGCCGCUGGAACACCACCAACAUGUUGGAUAUGCCAACAAAGAGCCGAAACAAGUCUAUACUUUGAUGAAUAAAUGUUAACGAUUUCAGUUAUUUGGUCCUAAUAAAAUUUC